Molecule: ribosomal RNA, 412 nt
Filed under: Bacillus amyloliquefaciens
Lineage: Bacteria; Bacillati; Bacillota; Bacilli; Caryophanales; Bacillaceae
Description: bacterial SSU rRNA
Rfam family: Bacterial small subunit ribosomal RNA
Source: RNAcentral
CAGCAGCCGCGGUAAUACGUAGGUGGCAAGCGUUGUCCGGAAUUAUUGGGCGUAAAGGGCUCGCAGGCGGUUUCUUAAGUCUGAUGUGAAAGCCCCCCGGCUCAACCGGGGAGGGUCAUUGGAAACUGGGGAAACUUGAGUGCAGAAGAGGAGAGUGGAAUUCCACGUGUAGCGGUGAAAUGCGUAGAGAUGUGGAGGAACACCAGUGGCGAAGGCGACUCUCUGGUCUGUAACUGACGCUGAGGAGCGAAAGCGUGGGGAGCGAACAGGAUUAGAUACCCUGGUAGUCCACGCCGUAAACGAUGAGUGCUAAGUGUUAGGGGGUUUCCGCCCCUUAGUGCUGCAGCUAACGCAUUAAGCACUCCGCCUGGGGAGUACGGUCGCAAGACUGAAACUCAAAGGAAUUGACGGG